GAUGAACGCUGGCGGCGUGCCUAAUACAUGCAAGUCGAGCGAACAGACGAGGAGCUUGCUCCUCUGACGUUAGCGGCGGACGGGUGAGUAACACGUGGAUAACCUACCUAUAAGACUGGGAUAACUUCGGGAACCCGGAGCUAAUACCGGAUAAUAUAUUGAACCGCAUGGUUCAAUAGUGAAAGACGGUUUUGCUGUCACUUAUAGAUGGAUCCGCGCCGCAUUAGCUAGUUGGUAAGGUAACGGCUUACCAAGGCAACGAUGCGUAGCCGACCUGAGAGGGUGAUCGGCCACACUGGAACUGAGACACGGUCCAGACUCCUACGGGAGGCAGCAGUAGGGAAUCUUCCGCAAUGGGCGAAAGCCUGACGGAGCAACGCCGCGUGAGUGAUGAAGGUCUUCGGAUCGUAAAACUCUGUUAUUAGGGAAGAACAAAUGUGUAAGUAACUAUGCACGUCUUGACGGUACCUAAUCAGAAAGCCACGGCUAACUACGUG
Molecule: ribosomal RNA, 497 nt
Filed under: uncultured bacterium
Lineage: Bacteria
Description: partial 16S ribosomal RNA
Rfam family: Bacterial small subunit ribosomal RNA
Source: RNAcentral